UAUAGAUACAGCUCCUACAGGGUGCUCAUCUAACAUUCAGUUUCAUUUCUCCAUAGGAAUAAUUAGCUGGCAAUGAGAAAAAUCAUUUGAUUAGGCCCACAACUGAUUAGAGGCUUGUGCAUAGCCUAUUGAAAUAAAGAUACAAAUUGAUUUCAGCAUGUUUUGGGUGAGCCCGUCUUCCAAAGCAAAUAGAGAGAUAAGACAGCAUCUGCUGAGUAUUCACCUGCCAAGUCUUUGUGCUGAUCUCUAAUUUUAGGUCCUGCAGGCAAGUGUCCAGGUUAUUUACCACCUGGGCUGUUUUGGUCUUCUCUCAAAUGUGUGUAUUGAUGGACGAGCUCUCUUAUCUACACCACAAUAAUACUGGCCCAACUAUACCAGCAGCAUGAGGCCCAGGAUCAAUACUGAUUCCUCCCUCAUUCAGCUGAACAGCAUUUUAUUUGUCUAAUUAUUAAUAUCUAUUAAAUGCCUGAACUGGAAAAAUCUUGACUAAGCAGUCUAAAAUGAGUGAGUUGGACAGGCUAUAGACAUGCAGAGUAUUGCCAUUACUGUACAAUAUGGGAUGUGCCUGCAAUCUUCCCAUCACAGAUUCACUUUCCAUCACAGCUGAUACAAAUGAUAGGACCCUAUGGCUGGCAGCAGAUUUGCAUCCGCCACAUUAGGUAUUAUUUUUUCCCUAAUGGGAACAGAACUCAACAAUUUGCAUACAUAAUUGCUGCAAUUAAUUAAUAAUUUAAAAAGCAAUAAUUAAUAAUUAAAUAAUUUAUUACUGCUAUAAUUAAUCUGUUACAGAUAUCUGUCCUCUGAUAAAACCUGUUCCCCCAUAUAGGUAUGCAUGCACUUGGUUCUUGAAUAAUGGGUUUAUGGAAAGACAUCUCAGGUAGAGCUCUAAAUUAGAGCCUUCUCAUUUAAUUAACUGAUUCACACAGACUAAAACUGAGUAGAUUUUGCAUGUCCACGCACCCAGGAUGCAUGAACUCAUUCUUCCAUAUCGGGAUGGAUUUUCACACCAAAAACCAAUACAAAUUCAUUGGGGCUUCUUCCUAUAACUCAGAAGUUACGACUGUCAGAUACACAGGACACAGGUGCCUUGGGUAAGAAAAUGCUAUUUUUUACAUUCAGAGGAUAGAUGUAAUUGAGACUGUGUUACCACUGCCUGAUUUUAUUCAUAAAGCUCACAGCUUCCUCCCUCCUUUAGUGAACAAUCUGUUUGCUGCAGACAGGCUGGUUUCAAC
This 1232-nucleotide long non-coding RNA is filed under the name Taeniopygia guttata (zebra finch). RNAcentral's name for it is "lncRNA (ENSTGUG00000024406.1)". The record is from RNAcentral. Lineage: Eukaryota; Metazoa; Chordata; Aves; Passeriformes; Estrildidae.